UCGAAACACCGAUCUCCCCCAGCCCCUUAGCAGAUGGAUCAGAUAGCCUUUAAUGAUCUUCUCUCCUUACGAGGUAGACAUAAGGCACGUUUUCCUAGAUAUCCUCCCCACCCCCCCGUAAAGCGGUACCCUUUAAAUCCUGCAGCCAAGAAGUUCAUAUGCUCAAUGGAUGACAAAGUAAGGCUGCAGUAUGAGAGUGCGAAGAGUUUUUUUCCAGACCAGCUUCAUUCAGGCUCUUAGCCCCGUGUUUCCUGCCCAGCAAUCAAAGGCAAGGAUGGCCCUGGAAGAAGCGUGAUGCCACAGUUGUACCAUAAAUUUAUUCUGUCGAUAGUACGAGGCCGAGCAAGUACUGUGUUAGUUUCUGCUGCGAUGCUGAAUAAGCCGUAGGAAGGGGGUUGCAGUGCAGAACACAUCUCCUCCUGCAACUUGUUUCCCCUCACAGCAUGCCUCUGCUUUCCGCGAGUUACGCUGUAUUAGCAACGGAGAGGACAGAAGAGGGAUUUUUAAAGGUGCUUAGGCAGCCGAAGAGGUAGGGAGAUGACUUACAGGACUUAGGAUCCCAGCAGAAGAAACCUGAGUAUCUUCAAAAAGCAAAAUUCUUACGGCAAACCUUCCCUUUCCCUACUCUACCUCAUCAGCGGCAGCCUCCCAUCACGGCAUUAUUUUAAUUAGCAAUUAAAAUGCCCCGGAAAGAGCGCUGCGAUCGGCAUUCCUGGUGGCUCCGAGGGUCUGCUUUCCCCACGAACUGAAAAAUAAAUAAAUCAGCGCCCAGCGCCGGGGUCCCCUCGCUCAGCCCCGGGGCCCGGCCCAUGGCGGCGGGGGCGGGGGCGGGGGUGGGGGCGCGGCGGGAGCCCCUGCGCGGCCGCCGCCCCCUGCCGCGGCCCGGCCGCGCUUCCGCCGCCGUCAGCUGACUGCGGCCGGCAGCCCGCACAGCCGGCAAGCCCGGCCCCGAGCCGCGGUGACUGCGGAAGCCCCGCUGCGCCCGCUCGCCCCUCGCCCUCCCGCCCCCCUCUCCCCGGCCAUGGCAGGGGUCGUGGUGAGCGGAGCACAAGUAAGUGUGCGCGGCGCGGCCCCACCUGCCGGCGGCACCGUGCUGCUCCCCGCCCCGCCCCGCCCCGCCAACGGCAGCGGGGCCGCCGGGCUGGGCUGCG
RNAcentral lists this long non-coding RNA (1151 nucleotides) under Cairina moschata (Muscovy duck). RNAcentral describes it as "domestica (muscovy Duck (domestic type)) lncRNA (ENSCMMG00000000869.1)". The record is from RNAcentral. Lineage: Eukaryota; Metazoa; Chordata; Aves; Anseriformes; Anatidae.